UGGGGAAUUUUGGACAAUGGGCGAAAGCCUGAUCCAGCAAUGCCGCGUGUGUGAAGAAGGCCUUCGGGUUGUAAAGCACUUUUGUCCGGAAAGAAAUCCUUGGCUCUAAUACAGUCGGGGGAUGACGGUACCGGAAGAAUAAGCACCGGCUAACUACGUGCCAGCAGCCGCGGUAAUACGUAGGGUGCAAGCGUUAAUCGGAAUUACUGGGCGUAAAGCGUGCGCAGGCGGUUUGCUAAGACCGAGGUGAAAUCCCCGGGCUCAACCUGGGAACUGCAUUGGUGACUGGCAGGCUAGAGUAUGGCAGAGGGGGGUAGAAUUCCACGUGUAGCAGUGAAAUGCGUAGAGAUGUGGAGGAAUACCGAUGGCGAAGGCAGCCCCCUGGGCCAAUACUGACGCUCAUGCACGAAAGCGUGGGGAGCAAACAGGAUUAGAUACCCUGGUAGUCCACGCCCUAAACGAUGUCAACUAGUUGUUGGGGAUUCAUUUCCUUAGUAACGUGCAUACACGUGAAGUUGACCGCCUGGGGAGUACGGUCGCAAGAUUAAAACUCAAAUGAAUUGACGGGGUCAUAGCUGUUUCCU
This 584-nucleotide ribosomal RNA is filed under the name uncultured bacterium. RNAcentral's name for it is "partial 16S ribosomal RNA". It matches the Rfam family "Bacterial small subunit ribosomal RNA", at positions 355 to 1375 of the family's 1533-position model. The record is from RNAcentral.